UACAGAGGGUGCAAGCGUUGUUCGGAAUUAUUGGGCGUAAAGCGCGUGUAGGCGGCAUGGCAAGUCGGGUGUGAAAGCCCUCAGCUCAACUGAGGAAGUGCGCCCGAAACUGCUGUGCUUGAGUACCGGAGAGGGUGGCGGAAUUCCGCAAGUAGAGGUGAAAUUCGUAGAGAUGCGGAGGAACACCGGUGGCGAAGGCGGCCACCUGGACGGUCACUGACGCUGAGACGCGAAAGCGUGGGGAGCAAACAGG
This 253-nucleotide ribosomal RNA is filed under the name uncultured bacterium. Its description in RNAcentral is "partial 16S ribosomal RNA". It matches the Rfam family "Bacterial small subunit ribosomal RNA", at positions 524 to 776 of the family's 1533-position model. The record is from RNAcentral.